This 578-nucleotide long non-coding RNA is filed under the name Mustela putorius furo (domestic ferret). RNAcentral describes it as "lncRNA (ENSMPUG00000030488.1)". The record is from RNAcentral. Lineage: Eukaryota; Metazoa; Chordata; Mammalia; Carnivora; Mustelidae.
GCAACAAAAGAGAAACAGUCUGCUUAAUCAAUUCAAUUCAUUACAUAUUUAUGGAGCACUGAUUUUUUUUUUUUUUUUUUGUCGAGGGAACAUUCAAGGUGCUGCGGGACUUUACAACAUAGGUGGUAAGACAGCUAGGGAAAUCUCACGCUGCUUAGCCUGGCAUCAGUGUUGCAAGAGGAUAAAGGAACUACAGAUCAGAAAAGGCACUCUGAAAAGCAAACUGCAAGUCACAAAGGUUACGUGACUGCCGGGUAUUGUCUUGCUGACUGUCAGCCCCAGGGAGGACUCCCAGUUCCUGGAAGGCACCCUCACGUCCUUGCCAUGAGAUCCCCUUCAUUGGCAGUUCACAACGUGGCUGUUUGCUUCUUCAGGAUCAGCAGGAGAAUCUCUUGCUUUCAGUCUCUCAUCUGAUUAGGUAAGGAUUACCAGGAUUACCUCCCUAAAUUAAAAUCAAAGGAUUAAGGGCCUUAAUUAUAUCUGCAACAUCAUUGCAGCACCUACACUCAUGUGAUUUUGUUGUUGUUGUUGCUUUUUUGUUUUUUGUUUGUUUGUUUGUUUUUUAAUUUAUUUAACAG